GAAGCAAGAAACUCCAUAGUGCUAUGGUUUCGGCCCAUAAAUAGGUACACUUCAUCGUACCCUUGCUUCA
This 70-nucleotide transfer RNA is filed under the name Lampsilis powellii. RNAcentral describes it as "tRNA-Arg". The record is from RNAcentral. Lineage: Eukaryota; Metazoa; Mollusca; Bivalvia; Unionida; Unionidae.